CAGCCGCCGCGGUAAUACCGAGGGUGCGAGCGUUAAUCGGAUUUACUGGGCGUAAAGCGUGCGUAGGCGGCUUUUUAAGUCGGAUGUGAAAUCCCUGAGCUUAACUUAGGAAUUGCAUUCGAUACUGGGAAGCUAGAGUAUGGGAGAGGAUGGUAGAAUUCCAGGUGUAGCGGUGAAAUGCGUAGAGAUCUGGAGGAAUACCGAUGGCGAAGGCAGCCAUCUGGCCUAAUACUGACGCUGAGGUACGAAAGCAUGGGGAGCAAACAGGAUUAGAUACCCCGUAGUCCCUGUCUCUUAUACA
Molecule: ribosomal RNA, 301 nt
Filed under: uncultured bacterium
Lineage: Bacteria
Description: partial 16S ribosomal RNA
Rfam family: Bacterial small subunit ribosomal RNA
Source: RNAcentral